Molecule: ribosomal RNA, 473 nt
Filed under: uncultured bacterium
Lineage: Bacteria
Description: bacterial SSU rRNA
Rfam family: Bacterial small subunit ribosomal RNA
Source: RNAcentral
UCGGGAAUUUUGGGCAAUGGGCGAAAGCCUGACGCAGCAACGCCGCGUGAGUGAUGAAGGUCUUCGGAUCGUAAAGCUCUGUCGGCAGGAACGAUGGAUAUCGUAGCUAACAUCUACGGCAUCUGACGGUACCUGCAAAGGAAGCACCGGCUAACUCUGUGCCAGCAGCCGCGGUAAGACAGAGGGUGCAAGCGUUGUUCGGAAUUAUUGGGCGUAAAGGGCGCGUAGGCGGCGGCGCAAGUCAGAUGUGAAAGCCCGGGGCUUAACCUCGGAAGUGCAUCUGAUACUGCGUUGCUUGAGUCCUGGAGAGGGUGGUGGAAUUCCCAGUGUAGAGGUGAAAUUCGUAGAUAUUGGGAGGAACACCGGUGGCGAAGGCGACCACCUGGACAGAGACUGACGCUGAGGCGCGAAAGCGUGGGGAGCAAACAGGAUUAGAUACCCCGGUAGUCCCUGAGCGGGCUGGCAAGGCGCAU